RNAcentral lists this ribosomal RNA (719 nucleotides) under Enterobacter hormaechei. Its description in RNAcentral is "bacterial SSU rRNA". It matches the Rfam family "Bacterial small subunit ribosomal RNA", at positions 51 to 758 of the family's 1533-position model. Lineage: Bacteria; Pseudomonadati; Pseudomonadota; Gammaproteobacteria; Enterobacterales; Enterobacteriaceae. The record is from RNAcentral.
ACACAUGCAAGUCGAACGGUAACAGGAAGCAGCUUGCUGCUUCGCUGACGAGUGGCGGACGGGUGAGUAAUGUCUGGGAAACUGCCUGAUGGAGGGGGAUAACUACUGGAAACGGUAGCUAAUACCGCAUAACGUCGCAAGACCAAAGAGGGGGACCUUCGGGCCUCUUGCCAUCGGAUGUGCCCAGAUGGGAUUAGCUAGUAGGUGGGGUAACGGCUCACCUAGGCGACGAUCCCUAGCUGGUCUGAGAGGAUGACCAGCCACACUGGAACUGAGACACGGUCCAGACUCCUACGGGAGGCAGCAGUGGGGAAUAUUGCACAAUGGGCGCAAGCCUGAUGCAGCCAUGCCGCGUGUAUGAAGAAGGCCUUCGGGUUGUAAAGUACUUUCAGCGGGGAGGAAGGCGAUAAGGUUAAUAACCUUGUCGAUUGACGUUACCCGCAGAAGAAGCACCGGCUAACUCCGUGCCAGCAGCCGCGGUAAUACGGAGGGUGCAAGCGUUAAUCGGAAUUACUGGGCGUAAAGCGCACGCAGGCGGUCUGUCAAGUCGGAUGUGAAAUCCCCGGGCUCAACCUGGGAACUGCAUUCGAAACUGGCAGGCUAGAGUCUUGUAGAGGGGGGUAGAAUUCCAGGUGUAGCGGUGAAAUGCGUAGAGAUCUGGAGGAAUACCGGUGGCGAAGGCGGCCCCCUGGACAAAGACUGACGCUUCAGGUGCGAAA